GAGGGUAGAGCUCAGUGGUAGAGCAGGUGCUUAGCAUGCACGAGGUCCUGGGUUCAAUCCCGUUUCCAUUA
RNAcentral lists this transfer RNA (71 nucleotides) under Camelus bactrianus (Bactrian camel). It matches the Rfam family "tRNA". Rfam says of the family: Transfer RNA (tRNA) molecules are approximately 80 nucleotides in length. Their secondary structure includes four short double-helical elements and three loops (D, anti-codon, and T loops). Lineage: Eukaryota; Metazoa; Chordata; Mammalia; Artiodactyla; Camelidae. The record is from Rfam by way of RNAcentral. RNAcentral also lists the same sequence under 2 other names.